This is a long non-coding RNA of Empidonax traillii (willow flycatcher), 2970 nucleotides long. RefSeq lists it as uncharacterized. Lineage: Eukaryota; Metazoa; Chordata; Aves; Passeriformes; Tyrannidae. The record is from RefSeq and is a predicted model, not a curated record. The transcript has 2 exons.
GUCUGUGGUGUGCUCAGAGUUAAAAAUGACUUCGCAUCUUCCCAUUUUCCACCUUAGUCUCCCUACUGUGAGAAUUGCUGGCCCUCCAAAGGAGCUGGCAGCUCACACACUACACAUGUGUUUGUAAGUUAGAAAGGAUUCUUCAUAUGCAGCACAGCCAUUUCAGAUCCCUGGGAGGAGUUCUGUACCUUCUCCUAUUGACAGCUACAUGUGCUUUCACAUACGGCCAAAUUGAGCCAAAAAAGAAACGCAGCUUAAAGUUCCAUUUAAUCUUCUGUGGGUGGCAAGAUUUAGGCGGUGUAGGUUCAGCGCUGAGCACAACUCAGCUCUCAGAAGGGCUGAAGGCCCCGCUCAGCAGAUGGUCACUCAGGGGUUACCUGCUGCUCUGGCACACAGGGGUCACUGCCCAGCACGGGGGACAGAUGGCACAGGGCAGGCACUGAGAACCCAUUGUGUGAGCAGCAGUCACUCGGGAGAAAGCUACACCUGCCAACAUCUGGAAUAGUUUAUCAAGUAUCAUUCAGAAAGCAACUAAAUAUUGCACGUGCCAUCUGAAGAGAGCUUUCUGAGCGGCGUUUGGAGAGAGACACCGCAAAUCCUUUCAAGUCCUUUAGUUGUAGAUUGUUCAUAUUAUAGGCUGCCAAUAACCAGGUGUAACUAUUUCUCAGCCCUGCUUGGGGAGGAUAGUUUCAGUUCAUGCUUGAAAUUAUGUAUUUUAACUAUUUCUGAUAUGUUCACCAAGGCAGACACGGUGGUCACCACAGCCUGGCUGCUCAGCUUUGAAGGCAGAAUUCCCUCAUGUCCUGCCCAGUGCUGCUGGAACCUGGAGAUCCCACCCCCGGAGCACAGAGCAUGGCACAGCUCUGGUACCCAGAGAACCAACACCUCAACAUUUCUGUCCUUGUGUUACUGGCAGAUGUAUUUAUAAUGCAGUAAUCUCAAAAUCACACUUCAAUUUUUUUAUAAGUGUAUAAAAGCACAACUAAUUCUCCUACACCUGGCCUUGGAUAGGUGCAUUUAAAAAUUUCUCUCAAUAUUAAAAGAAUUCGAACAGCUCUUUAUGAAACAUGGCAAUGCUGAUUUUGCUCUGUUAUCCAUAACCCCCUCCCCUCCAGCCCUUUUUACCUUCAUAAUGAUAGGCAACACAUUAAACUCCUAAAAUCAAUUCAGCUAAGGCAAAGGAGAUAUGGAUUAAAAACCAGCUAAGAUUUUGGAAACUGCAAGAAGAUGAAAAGGACAAAAGUCUGCUCAGCUAUGAAGAGCAGCUGCUGCCAAUACAAGUAUUUACCCCCUGACCCCUCCUCUGCCCACUCAGUGAACAGUGCCAAUUGUUUUCCUGUAUUAUACACUGUUUACAAGCCCUGAGUGGCAUGAAAGGAAUUAAUAAUUCAGCUCUUGGAGCUGAUGACCUUUAUUGGGGUACCCCUAUUUGCUGAGUAGGAACCAGAGCAAAAAAACCCCUUGAAGCCACAGGGUUUCUUUAAGAGUUUUUCACUUUACAGCCUAAUUGGCCACCAUAACAUAAAUCAAUUAUUUCUCCUGUUUUAAGCAACAAUGCUACCUAUUCUCAACCACUCAAUUUCUUACUUCUCUUGUAUCAAGCCAGGCCUUGUUCUUUGACUUUUACAAUGGUCUGGUAAACACACCGGCAAGGCCAGCUUGGAGAGCUUCGCAGGAUCAGGAACAUUUGGGAACACCAGCAAAAAGAGGUUAUGCUAUUUUGAACUUCUCUUGACCUUUGCCUGCCCUUGUCCCUGGUUAUGCUAAUUGAAGGGGUAUAUGGGCUACUCCCAGAAAUGAACUUAGCCUGAACCUGUGACACAGCAUUGGACUUUGCAGAUGAGUUUGGGACCCCCUCCCCAAAGGCUGUCAUCUCCCAUACAGGAAGGGAGAGCAGGUAAAACACAGUCCCCUGAGCACUGCAGGGAGACCCAGGAUGAGAGGGAGCAGAACGUGCUGCCUCAGUGAGUCACAUCAUCUUCCCCCGUGUCUGAGCAGCUGCCAGGGAUCAAUUCAUGGACCCCUGAGGCAGAAAGGCAGCGGAGCUUGUGGGGCUGCAGACAGAAGGACAUGGUCACAGCACAGCCUCCACAGGCACAGGGUAUUCCAGAUGUGACUCUGCCAUGUCCCACAGGAGGCACUCAGUGCUCCUCUCAACCUCCUGGCUCUCAGACCAGCACAUGAUGGGCUGUCACCACCACAAGCACUUCCCUGACUCAUUGUGAGGUUCUCCAGGACCCCAGGUCAUCCCUGCUCCCCAGCCUGUACCAUUCCAUGGGGUUACUGCAUUCCAGAUGCAGGACUCGGUGUUUGUCUCUGCUUAACUUUGAAGUUUCAAUCAACCCUUUCCUUCAGGUACAGCAGCUGUGCCCUCAUUGUUGUGUCAUCUGCAGGUCUGAUGAGUGUGUCCAUCCCAUCAUCCAGAUGGUUGACGAAAUUGCUAAAUAGUAUUGGCCCUAAUAUUGACUCCCAAGGACAACCACAGCAUACCAGGCCAGCAGUGAGUGCUUGAACCCUUGACUGCCACCCCUGGAACAACACAGCCCAGUUUUUCACCCAGUUUGCCUACAAGGAUGAUAUGGGAGAGACUGUGUCAAAAGCUCUGCCUAAGGUUAGUGACACAAUUACUCUCUCCUCAUUCAUGGAUCCAGUCAUUUCAUGGCAGUAGGAAUGAGGCUGGUCAGGCAUUAUCUCCCCUUGGUAAACCUGCAGUGACUGUUCCCAAUUACCUUCCUAUUCUUCAAGUGCCUGGAAACGUCUUUUGGGAGGAUUUGCUCCAUACCCUUCCCACUGAAGGAAUGAGACGAGGAUGACCAGCCUGCAGUUCCUCAGAGCAGCUACUACUGAGCAGAGCCGAGUUAAAGAAAACAAUCCCAGCUCCUGCUUACCAACAAAACUGAAAGGAAACCUACACAGAGUUGAAUGUUCCAUGUACCUGCACUGCGUUCCUCAAUAAACACUCCACAGACA